Long non-coding RNA from Zingiber officinale, 5144 nucleotides. RefSeq lists it as uncharacterized. The transcript has 2 exons. Lineage: Eukaryota; Viridiplantae; Streptophyta; Magnoliopsida; Zingiberales; Zingiberaceae. The record is from RefSeq and is a predicted model, not a curated record.
CAGGGACUCUUCUGGGGGCGUGACACAAAAUGCAGUAAUCACAAGCAAUAAAUGCAAUCCAUGCAUAUGAUGCAAAUGACAUAGUCACCCCUGACGUCAGUCAGCCACUUCACACACGAUGGUGAGGUCGAGUAGGUAGGGCUAUGAUAACUGUGCACUCUAUCACCACUACCUCUGAGUGACCGAGUGGGCAGGAUGUUGUCAGAAUACAUCUAUCCUCCUACCCCAAACAUAGGGGGAGAGCCUAAGCUCUCAUCUCCCAAGUCUAUAAAUUCAUCUCCUCAAAUAUGUCAUACGAGUUUCGAAAAAUUUCCAAAAAAUUUCUAAAAAUUCUGUUAAAAUUAUUCGUCCAUUAAACCUUAUUAUUAUUUUGUUACAGUAUUUUACACCUGUAGCGCGUGUGCACGCUUUCCAAGAUAAGCACACUUCCCAAAAUUUUUCCUGAAAAGAUUUGUCAGUAAAAUGUCCCUGACACAGUACCUUAACAGGCCGAGCAUAUAUCUGAAGUGAUAGUGAAAGCUUCCGUCGUACAAUCUUCUGGUUGUCUAUGCCCGAUGUCAGCAGCACUAACUCCCAAAAGGAUGUCGAUAGAAAAUAGAGGGAGUAUGCUGCUAAGCCGAGCGGGUUGGCCGUUUGACCGGAAAUUCGCUGCUCCUAUGUCUUGUCCGCUCAGCCGAAACUUCGCUACUCCUGUGCAUGUGUCAGCUCGGUCAUAACUCCGCUGUUUUUGUGUCUCGUUCGGUCGGCAGAGCUCCACUGUGCCAAUACCGAGCCCUAUCACAAGGCUGAGUGGGGUAGCUGCUCGACCCGGCUUCUGCACAUCGUCUCCUCUUCCAUCCGGGGUCCACUACUCCCUUGAGCGUCGGUCAUUUGACAAUUCCCCGUGUCAAAGACAGGAUCGGAUCAGAACAUUCUCCCUCGGUCGGGGCAUGCUCGCUCGACCGGACGAUGAUAUCUGAGCGUUGACCACCUUAACUUUGACCUCCACCGUGACAGCUCUCCUCCGCAGGGUGGGGCCCCUCCUUAUUACCGCAUCACAUGUCUCCCCCUCAAGUCUAGUCAAAGGAGGUUGCAAGUCCAAUUGACUGGACAAAAUUAUCUGGGAAGCUUUUGACCCAAUCGGCUUCGACACUCCUUGGUUUCUGAUCGGACUAAUGUAGCGCAACGGUUGGCUAUGUGAUUGUUCUUUGCCGGUCGACCUAUUGAAGAUUAUCGUUUGGCCUUAGGUCUACUCCCUUAAGCCGAUCGGCACAACGAAUAUUCAUACUUGGAAAUCUUUUGGGCUUCUUUGGGUGAGCACGAUCCAGGCUUACAUCACUCAUAUUUCUGGGGAAUCGUGCAAAUCCCUGCGCAUUAUGGUUGAGCGCGCCCCUCGUGCCUUUUAUUUGUCCUCAUUAAAUGUCGGCCCGUGGCGAGGAGCCACGUGUCUCGCUCGCUGCUGCCGCACGCCUGAAGUGACAGGCGAAUAUCCGUUGGCGGUGUGACCUUUGGCACUUCAAAUUCAAUGGCCCAAUUUUUGCUUAGGUUUUCGCAACCUAGAUCGGACGGCUCCGGUCGGCCAACCCUGAGGUUUAUAAACUCGGGCUUAUUGCUGUCUUUGCGCACUUCCGUCUUCGAGUUCUCCGACGACACUCUGUCUCUGUGCUCGUGUGAUAUUCUUCCUUUCCUGCUCCUCUGGCGACCUUCUAGUAUACUUCCUUCUAAUCGCACCCGUCUUCGAGUUUUUUGACGUUUCUUCAUCUGUGUUCCGGCGAUAUUCUUCCAGUAGGCUUCCUUCCCCUCGCAUCUUUUCGCUCUCCUUUGUUUUUGCGAUGGUGAGUUCCUCACAGCCACUUGUCGGCGUCCCUGGGCUUUGGUACACCUCUACUGAGUUCAGGUUUGACGCCGGUGACGCUAAGAGUCUGACAGCUGCCUUUGAGUUUCCUUCUGGCUACAAAGUUGUUCUUCCUUCUCCUUCCGAUCGGCCAAACUCUCCGACGCCUAGCUGUCUUUGCUUCUUUAGGGAUCAGUUUACCACCGGUCUGCGAUUUCCUAUUCACCCCUUCUUUCCCACCGUUUGUAAAUACUUUCGUAUCUCUCUUCAUCAAUUAGUGUCGAACUCCUUUCAGCUGCUGUGCGGGGUAGUUGUUCUGUUCCGCCUGCACGACAUUCCUCUCACUCGGAUCUUUCACUAUUUUUAUUAUUUGAAAUUGUCUGAGUUGGGGACUUUUAUUUUCCAAGCCCAAGUGGAAAAGAUCAUGUUUAUGUUUGUUUUAAAAUCAUACGAAUACUCUUUUGAUUUAAUUGUUAAAUCACAAAUAAAAUUUUAAUUUUUUGCUGUGCAUAGGAGUGUAGAAAUAUGAUAUCCGAAUUUCGAAUUAUGUUCCAACACUGAGGAGGGUGAUGGUAGAGAUUAGAUAUCAUUAUUGGUAAAUUAACUUGAUUGUUUUAUAAAUAAUGGAAAAAUCCAUUCAAUAAAAAUUUAAAAUUCAAUAAAAUUUAGGAAAAGGCAAGAUGGUAACGUGCUCGUGUAAAGUGAACUCAGACCUCUUCUACAACAUCCUUAGCGAACUCAACCAACUCAGGAUCGGCCCAGCCUAACUCUAAUUCUUGGAUCCGUCCCUACUAGAAGGAAGAUAGCAUUGAAGGCACUUAUGAUACUCUCAAGGAGUGUGCAAUAAUAAGUAAAUCAGCUCGAGGAAUUGGUGUUUCUGUUCACAACAUUCGUGCAACUGGUAGUUAUAUCCGUGGAACAGAUGAAGCUAGCUAGUAUCCAAUGGCAUUGUUUCAAUGCUGAGGGUGUUGAAUGAUACUGCUCGUUAUGGUGAUCGGGGGGAGGCAACAGAAGGGUAAUUUGGUUACUCUUCAUUGACUACGAUUUCAUAGCAGCGGCCUAAAUUCAAAUCUGAAUUUGUGUUUUUUGAUUUUAAAUAUGUUAGGUGCAUUUGCUUUACAUUUAAUUUGGAACCUUGGCAUGCAGAUAUAUAUAUGAGUUCCUGGAGCUUAGAAAGAACCACGGGAAGCUUUGAAGGGAGUUCAAGCAUGGCUGGACCUAAGAGCUCAAGCUGAUUUAGUUAUGCAAAUGAUCCACACUGGAGCAGAAUCCUGUAGCUACAAGAACAUGGUACCUCAUGUCAAACAUGUAUGUGGAACAUAUGCAACCAUGGAUGAGAUUAGAUUUUGUAGUUGAAUCAAACACAAGGAUAACAGAAAUUUAUCAUGUUCAGUCCAAGAAAGAUAAAGAUGUCUUUGCUCAGUUUGUUUUGUUUGCAACCACAUAUAUGAUAAUAUUUUGUGUUAAGGUAUUUUUUUCUAAAGUGCUUCCUAUUCUUCUGUUCUUGUUCUUGGCAUGGUUGGACAAGACUAGCAUGUGUUCAAAGCAAGGUUGUAAUCAUUGAUGAGGUGCAGUGGGCUGAGACAUCUAUACAUACACAGUCCUUCAUCCUCCAUUUGCUUCAAUGUUUAAGAAUGUACCUUAAAGUUUUAUACAUAAGCUAACAAAUAAAAAUUAGGACAAACUGAUUCAAAGUCAUAAAGGAAAUAGAGAAAUUCAAUGAAAAAAAGGAUAUAAUACUUCAAAUCAAUAUGGAGAACACUUAGGAAUCUGGAUUCAUAUAUACUUACAUCGCUCAUUAUUAAGUGGCCUAAGAACCUCUCCAAUAUAUUGUCCUGAUCCCUGGAGAUACUCUAGAUCAUCUUUAGUUUUAGUGAUCUCCUUCUUUAAGGCUUUUAAAUUUCCCCUCACUUCAUUUUGUUAAGCAAUAAAAUACAAAUAGAAAAGAUCUUCAGAUGGUACAAACAACAGAUAAAUCAUUUAAUGAAAUGAUCAUAGAAAUGAGGAAGAAAACAAGCUAUUCAUAAACAUAUAGUGGGUAAGGUCAAGUAAAUAAGCAUUUUAUCAGUCGGAAGAAAAUACCAUAAUGUUGCCAAUGUUGGUCUCAUUCCUAGAAUUUAAUAAAAACAUUGAUCCAAUAAAAACAUAUCAUUUUCUCAUUUUUGAAAUAUCAUAGACAAUUUGAAAUUACAAUAAUUGCAAGACAUCAAAAAUAAAAGGCAACAAUAUCAUAAUAUAAACAAGUACUAGAAAGAGACAAGCGUGUUUUAUAUAAGUUUGUUUAUGAAUUAUUCAUAAGUUUUGUUUUUGAAUAUUAAAGAGACAAGCUCUCCAAGGUCCCAGCUUGUUUCUAUAUAUUAUUGUUGUUGUUGUUGUUGUUGUUGUUGUUGUUGUUGUUGUUGUUGUUGUUGUUGUUAUUAUUAUUAUUAUCAAAUAAAUGUACACAAGCUCUUACCAUGUUGAGUAUCAUGCUUGUUCAUGAAUAUCCUGUUCACUUCACAAAGUUUGGAGGUAAAUAUACUUUGUUUUUGAGGAAAUUAAGUCAUGUUUGAUGCUCAAAGGUCUUUGUGCAUUGGCCGAGUGGAUAUCAAAGACUACUCUGCAGAUUCAGCUGUGUUCUAAUUUCUUGUUGAACUUCUUCACAAGACUUCUAAGCUCAGGCAGGAAAUCCUAGUAAGGACAAACUUCACAGCAAUCACACCAAGAGAAAAUGUCAGCAACCACAUCAUUCCUACCUGUUUAUAUCAGAUUUAAAAAAAAAAAUCAAAAUCCUUAAUCUUGCUUACCUAUUUCUGUUAAGGUAUGGUGAUGAGGUAUAGUCCCAAUAAAUAUUUUACUUUGUAUAGUCAUAAAAAUCAAAAGGCCUUGUCCAAUUGAUAAGAAGGCUAGUGUUUCAUUGUUUUUACCAAUCUGAUGAGCUUCUUUUCAUGCACAGGAAGGUGGCAUUCUUGUAGGGUCAAAGCUUUGCCUAGUAGGUGAUUGAUCAACCUUCUUGUUAGAGGAUGGCUCCAAUCCCAAAUUUGUUGCAUCACAUUAAAUGAUGAAUUGUUGAGAAAGUUUUGGCAAACCAAUGCAUUAGAGAGAGAAUGCUUCAGCUUCUCGAAUGAUUCUUUAAAUUUCUCAAGUCUAUUUAAAAGCAUUUCUUGAUUAAUGUGGUCAAGGGAGCUGCAAGCUGCAAUUAUGGCAAAGUUUUGUAUGGAUUUGAGUAUUCCUGAGGUCCAAGAAUCUGCAAGGAUUAUAGGAAUACAGGAAUGCAGACAUUGAAAAAUGACAUUAAUCUUGCUUUCAUGCAGACUUCUGGCAACAUGAUGUUGAACUACAUUUUGCACUA